GCGUCGGUGAUGUAGGGGUAGCAUCUGAGCCUUCCAAGCUCAUGGCCCGGGUUCAAAUCCCGGCCGGCGCACCA
Molecule: transfer RNA, 74 nt
Filed under: Methanobacteriota archaeon
Lineage: Archaea; Methanobacteriati; Methanobacteriota
Also listed under: 3 other names
Description: Euryarchaeota archaeon tRNA-Gly
Rfam family: tRNA
About the family: Transfer RNA (tRNA) molecules are approximately 80 nucleotides in length. Their secondary structure includes four short double-helical elements and three loops (D, anti-codon, and T loops).
Source: RNAcentral